AAAAAACUUAAAUAUGGAAUUUGAGUAUGAAAAUGAACGGUAACUCAUUUUGGUUAUCUUUUAGAGUACUAAGAGCGCCCAAAGAGUACCCUUAAAAAUAUUAAGUUUAAAGGGAUAAAUCACAAAAUUGAAGAAGAAGAAAAAGAAGGAGACAAGAUCACAAACCUUCUCAUGCGGCUAAGUUCUCCCGUCAACAGCGUUGGGCUCCUGCUGUAGACGGUGAAGGCGACGACGUUGGGCUCCUACUGUAGACAGCGAAGGCGACGAUGCCUGGUUUCCUCCCAUCGACGACGUUGGGUUCCUGCUGGAGAGAAGAAGGCAUGCAACGGCUCUAGUGUAGAUGAAGGUGAAGGCGCGCGCACGACUCCUGGGUUCUCGGCUCCGGCAACACUGUGGCAGAUGGCGGCAGCAGAGACGAGAAAGGUUUGUAUGAUUAAAGAAGAACAGUCGGGGAGAUAUUGCUGACCUAGAGGAGGUGCAUUCAUUAGAUCGAAGAGGAAGAAAGCAACGGACUUGAGUGAGCUUCAUACUUGCUUUCUCUCUGUCAGAUUGUGCUCCAGGUAUGUUUAUGUAUUUUUGUUUAUAUUAUUAAAUCUGGUAAGUGUGUUUGUAUAUGCAUCACUACAAGUUCAUUUCAACUCACCAAACUUGCGCCUUAAAAACCCUCACUUUUUAAGGCUCUCAAAUAAAGAACUCGUGCCCUGUGAGCCCUAAAAAGUAUUCUUUGUAGUAGUGUAAGGUUA
Long non-coding RNA from Humulus lupulus (European hop), 743 nucleotides. RefSeq lists it as uncharacterized. The transcript has 3 exons. The record is from RefSeq and is a predicted model, not a curated record. NCBI's taxonomy places the organism in Eukaryota, Viridiplantae, Streptophyta, Magnoliopsida, Rosales, Cannabaceae.